This 465-nucleotide ribosomal RNA is filed under the name uncultured Klebsiella sp. RNAcentral describes it as "bacterial SSU rRNA". It matches the Rfam family "Bacterial small subunit ribosomal RNA", at positions 338 to 795 of the family's 1533-position model. Lineage: Bacteria; Pseudomonadati; Pseudomonadota; Gammaproteobacteria; Enterobacterales; Enterobacteriaceae. The record is from RNAcentral.
CCUACGGGAGGCUGCAGUGGGGAAUAUUGCACAAUGGGCGCAAGCCUGAUGCAGCCAUGCCGCGUGUGUGAAGAAGGCCUUCGGGUUGUAAAGCACUUUCAGCGGGGAGGAAGGCGUUAAGGUUAAUAACCUUGGCGAUUGACGUUACCCGCAGAAGAAGCACCGGCUAACUCCGUGCCAGCAGCCGCGGUAAUACGGAGGGUACAAGCGUUAAUCGGAAUUACUGGGCGUAAAGCGCACGCAGGCGGUCUGUCAAGUCGGAUGUGAAAUCCCCGGGCUCAACCUGGGAACUGCAUUCGAAACUGGCAGGCUAGAGUCUUGUAGAGGAGGGUAGAAUUCCAGGUGUAGCGGUGAAAUGCGUAGAGAUCUGGAGGAAUACCGGUGGCGAAGGCGGCCCCCUGGACAAAGACUGACGCUCAGGUGCGAAAGCGUGGGGAGCAAACAGGAUUAGAUACCCCUGUAGUC